Molecule: ribosomal RNA, 483 nt
Filed under: uncultured bacterium
Lineage: Bacteria
Description: partial 16S ribosomal RNA
Rfam family: Bacterial small subunit ribosomal RNA
Source: RNAcentral
GACGAACGCUGGCGGCGUGCUUAACACAUGCAAGUCGAACGAUGAAGCUGGAGCUUGCUCCGGUGGAUUAGUGGCGAACGGGUGAGUAACACGUGAGCAAUCUGCCCUUGACUCUGGGAUAACUGCGGGAAACUGUAGCUAAUACCGGAUACGAGACCUGAAGGCAUCUUCGGGUCUGGAAAGAAUUUCGGUCAAGGAUGAGCUCGCGGUCUAUCAGCUUGUUGGUGAGGUAAUGUCUCACCAAGGCUACGACGGGUAGCCGGCCUGAGAGGGUGACCGGCCACACUGGGACUGAGACACGGCCCAGACUCCUACGGGAGGCAGCAGUGGGGAAUAUUGCACAAUGGGCGAAAGCCUGAUGCAGCAACGCCGCGUGAGGGAUGAAGGCCUUCGGGUUGUAAACCUCUUUUAGCGGGGAAGAAGCGAAAGUGACGGUACCUGCAGAAAAAGCACCGGCUAACUACGUGCCAGCAGCCGCCGUAA